CAUAGAAACCUGAAGCAAAUACAGAAGAAGAUUUAUGUGAAUUCCAAUAUUUGAACAAAAAGAGACAUUAGUGAUAUUUGAUUAUGCCCUAUGUAGCUCACAUAUUUGUUUACCUCCAGCAUAUGGUAUCAAGUGAUUUGCAUUUGUAAAAUUUUGGGAGUAUGACACUUGCCAUGAUACCUAGUUAUUUGUUGUAAGUUUAAGCAUGAGACAUGAUAGUGCCUCAUGCCGGGCCCAUCCUGGGGAACCACCUUAUCUGCCUUUCAUCAGUUGCAUGACACUGGACUUGAUGAGGGAUGGAAUUUGAUUCAGCUCUUGUUCUUUCACUCCCACUCAUUGGUGGAUUCUGGUAUUGUAUUUAGCCAAUCAUCUAAUUUUCUUUUAACCACUUCCACAGUGCACUUGGUUAGAUUUCCAAUAUCCUUUGUUGUACUAUUAAAGAUUUUAGGGCUAUUUAUUACUUAUAUAGAUUUAGAUAUAUACUAAGAAAAUUGAAAUUUGGAGGACCUUUCCAUUGUGAUGAUUAAUCCUUUAAGAAACCCUCAUAGGCACCACUAUUAGCAAUAUGGGUGCAACUAGAACAACCAGCUGUGUCAUUGAAGAUGCAAUUACUUUUUUAGCAGCUGGUGAAACCCUUAUUUUACUAUAUAUGUCAUUUAUCAGUCAGUAUCUUAAGCAAAGUCAUGGGCAUGACUUUUACUGUUGCUGUUAAUAUAAUCCUUCAGUAUUGUUAUUAUUAUUAUUAGCUCUAUAGAAUAUUUUAUAUGUCAUAUUACCUUGUCUUUACAUAGAUAGAUAUAGAUAUGGUGAUUAUGCUAUAUGUAGGAUUUCAAGUUAUGAUCCUACAUAAUAAUGCAAAUAUCUUGAAGAAAAACACACAACACACACAUGCACACACACGCACAUAAAUACUCGACAGGGAACAGCCCUUGAAUGCAUUGGUCAUUUAACCAAGGUGAAAGCUUUUUAAACACAGAGCCACAUCUGUAGGACAGUUUGGUAUCCUGCACAGGAUACAAAUAGGAUACAACUUGAAUUUGUUAUUAUUUUCUCUUUGAGCCCAAAUUCAAAGAAGAGCAAAUAUGAACUAAGAGAAAAAAAAUGCAUUAUGGAAGACACCAAAACAGUUCCUACAGUAUACAUUGAAACAUUUUGAUGAUCAGGGUUUGCAAGGGUAGGUUACAAAUGAUAAUUUUAUUUUAAGAAUAGAAAACUUUAGGUAUAACUUCUAGACUUUCAAAUCCCUUGUAAAAGAGAGUUUACUCAGAUAGGUUACAGUUUUGAGAUUUUCAGAACUAUGGAAAGGUUAGGGGGGGUGAAGAAAAUGCACUCCUACAAAUAGCCUUUUGCUGUCCCAUCUUCUUUAUUUUUCUUCACUUUCUUGGUAUGUUUCAGUCAAUCUAGCAAGAUUAUUUUAGACUGAAUCACCCCUUCUCGUUGCAUUAAUGUUUUACUCACUCUCACUUUCUCCACUGGUACUGAUGCUGAUGCUAACUGAAAGACAGCAAAGAAAUCAAAGUCAGCUUCAAGAACCCAUGGAUGAUGAAGGGUUCUCAUACUAGAACAGGAGGCUAAAGCAAGAGCAUCUAGCACUGAGAAGCCACUUGAAUGGAAAUGUACAAGACUGGGCAGAAAUUGGAGGGGAAAGAGCUGUAGGCAAACCAGAGCCCUGCUGUGAAGCUAAAGCUAUUCUCACCAGAUGGAAAUUAAUAUCACAAGUUGGUGAUUUUAGCAGCCCUUUGGUUAUGGAUAAUGGGCGUGGUAACUAUGUGCUAAUAUUGCGUCUUGGGGAUUAACAAGUGCUCUGCCUGACACGCCGGGAGUCUAUGUGAAUGUGGCUAGUAUGUAUAUAUGAAAAUUCAGUAUCUGUAAACCUUGGUAUUUAUAGUCAAUAGUGUGGCUAGGUAGUAUCAUUGUGCACUGAUGCAACUAUUAUUGAAGGAUACACACACAUACAAACAGUUUUGUUUACAUGGUAACAGAGGUGUCACUGGGUUGAUACUACAGAAGUGACUUAGGACAGCUGAUUUUGGGGUCCACUAGGUGAGCAAGGUGACCCCAUAAAACUAGAAUCUUAGGCCUAUCAAUUUAUCCAGCCUUUCACAAUGAUUGUAACUAAUUUCUUUUGGUGUGCUGACGAUUUAAGAUUUCUUGUGCCACUUUAUGGAAUUGUGUGUGCAAAAUUAGCUCUUAGAAAUCUCUAGGAAAUAUUUCAAGCUCAUUUUUUAUCACUAUAGACUUUAAUGCCAGUGGUGCUACCUGUUUCUAACCACUUUGAUUAGAGAAGCCUAGACGCUCCAAUGAAAGUGUUUCAGAAAGGAAGGAUGAAAUAAAUUGAUGAAGGACUUCA
RNAcentral lists this long non-coding RNA (2350 nucleotides) under Penaeus japonicus. RNAcentral's name for it is "uncharacterized LOC122249764". The record is from RNAcentral. Lineage: Eukaryota; Metazoa; Arthropoda; Malacostraca; Decapoda; Penaeidae.